UACGGAGGGUGCGAGCGUUGUCCGGAAUCAUUGGGCGUAAAGGGCGCGUAGGUGGCGCUGCAAGUCGGUGGUGAAAGCUCGACGCUUAACGUCGAGUCGGCCAUCGAAACUGCAGGGCUCGAGCACUGUAGGGGCAGAUGGAAUUCCGGGUGUAGCGGUGGAAUGCGUAGAGAUCCGGAAGAACACCGGUGGCGAAGGCGGUCUGCUGGGCAGUAGCUGACACUGAUGCGCGACAGCGUGGGGAGCAAACAGG
Molecule: ribosomal RNA, 253 nt
Filed under: uncultured bacterium
Lineage: Bacteria
Description: partial 16S ribosomal RNA
Rfam family: Bacterial small subunit ribosomal RNA
Source: RNAcentral